This 420-nucleotide ribosomal RNA is filed under the name uncultured bacterium. RNAcentral describes it as "bacterial SSU rRNA". It matches the Rfam family "Bacterial small subunit ribosomal RNA", at positions 355 to 773 of the family's 1533-position model. The record is from RNAcentral.
UAAGGAAUAUUGGUCAAUGGACGCAAGUCUGAACCAGCCAUGCCGCGUGAAGGAUGAAGGUCCUCUGGAUUGUAAACUUCUUUUAUCUGGGACGAAAACGGGAUUUUUAUCUCAAUUGACGGUACCAGAGGAAUAAGCACCGGCUAACUCCGUGCCAGCAGCCGCGGUAAUACGGAGGGUGCGAGCGUUAUCCGGAUUUACUGGGUUUAAAGGGUGCGUAGGUGGGCUUAUAAGUCAGUGGUGAAAUCUCCGAGCUUAACUUGGAAACUGCCGUUGAUACUAUAGGUCUUGAAUUAUCUGGANGUAAGCGGAAUAUGUCAUGUAGCGGUGAAAUGCUUAGAUAUGACAUAGAACACCAAUUGCGAAGGCAGCUUACUACAUAUAAAUUGACGCUGAGGCACGAAAGCGUGGGGAUCAAAC